This 486-nucleotide ribosomal RNA is filed under the name Triticum aestivum (bread wheat). Its description in RNAcentral is "partial small subunit ribosomal RNA". Lineage: Eukaryota; Viridiplantae; Streptophyta; Magnoliopsida; Poales; Poaceae. The record is from RNAcentral.
AAAUUAAUUCAAGAUUCAGAGAAGCCUUUGUGGCCAGGAUGUGAAUUGUCUCAGCUUUCCUUACUUGCACUUUUGUUCAAUACAAAAUCCAUGAACAAAUGGUCUGAUAAGUCAUUUGGAGAUCUACUUAAUAUUCUGCACAUGGCUAUUCCAAAUGGAAAAGCUCUGGCCCAAAAUUUUUACGAGGCCAAGAAGAUCAUAUCGAAGUUUGGAUUAGGAUAUCAGAAAAUUCAUGUCUGCCCAAAUAACUGUCAGUUGUUCUGGAAAGAGACAGAAAAUGAUGAUUUUUGCUCUAAAUGCAAGGCUUCUAGGUGGAAAGAUAAAAUGCCCGAAACCAAGUUAACUAAAAAGGAAAGAAAGAGAGCUACGCCAAUGAAAGUUCUGAGAUACUUUCCAAUCAAAGAGUGGCUGAAAAGGAUAUUCAUGUGCAAAGAAACAGCAACUCUAGCUCGAUGGCAUGAUGAAGGGCGCACCAAGCAGCAUGGA